CUUAUAUUUCUGCAACUGAUUUUGGAGCCACUGACACUGUUAAUGACCUGAAGAAGGUUAUAAAAAAGGUGAGUUGUAUACUUGUAUUAUAUAAGUUUUGUGCAUUGUCAAGUUACCCGCAUAUAAGACAUAAUGUAGAAUAAAUAUAUUCUCUAUGCAAACAUAAUGCUUCUUGAUUGGUUCACAGAUGAAGAUACAACUUGCAGACGAACAAGUUAGCUUUGAAGGUGAGAAGUGGGUGGAGUAUGUUGACAACACUUUUGAGGAAUACAAAGGCCCUCUUAACAAUUCGGCUGGUGCCCACAAACCAGCAUGCAUGUUCUACCUCACAUUAAAGGUAGACUGUUGCACUCUUUCAUGCUAUUUUCACCUGUCCUUUCUUGCCCGACGUCAUUUGCAGGGAAUGUUAUUUGGCUAUUUUUCUAUGUGUGUUGAGUAAGAUCUUUUUAUUGAAGGAUUGCCCUAUUUUCAUAUCUGAAAUUGUAGUAGCCACAAUCCCUGCAACAUAGUACAUCAUGUUAUAACCAGCCGUGGGCAGACCAACCGAACUCCAAACCUACACCCUCAAAUUCUACUGCAACUACCUGAUACACUUUUCCCUGCCUCAGCGAAGGACUUGACAUAUUCUUGUAUUGUAAUAUUACUCUAUGAAUUAAUAAAAUAUAACACAUUAAUGAAACUAUGAAUAAAGUAGCGGUGACAGGUCAAAUGACAUUGACAACAGUGAUACUAUGCCAUAAUGCAUUUGGUUAAAAUUGUAUCUACCUAACUGCAUGUAUAUGUUAAAAAAACUGCAGGUAUAAAUAUUAAUUCGGUAUUUUGACAACUCGAUGGGUAUGCAUACUUCUUUCUUCUGAUAUGUUGUUCCUUUGACCAGGGUUGUAUAAAUGGCAGCUAUUGUUCAUAUGCACAUGAUUGUGACUCUUUGAUUUCUUCAUCAGUUACAUCUAAAAUAAGUCAAGAAGAUAUACCCUGGCGUACUGAAAAAGGUUGGGAAGAGUUGCUGACUGGAGGUGAAAAUGGUCACAUUCUUGUUGUGAAUGACAAAAAUCUGAAGUUUUCUCGUGAACUUUGUAAGAUAGUUGCCAGUAUACCUCGUCUGCGUUUGGCUGAGCAUAAUUCAGUUGCAAACAACCUCAGAUUAGUCCAGAAUGUUGCUGAUCCUUCUCAUCUAACUAUUGGAGGUGAACAUGAACUACCAGUUCCUUGGACGAAAUUACAGCGAAUUAUUCUGUUAGAUGAUUAUGGUUCUGGUGAAGCAAUCAAUCACCAAAUAUUCCAGAAGUUCUUUGAGUAUAUUGCCAUCAAGAUCUUGUCGGAAACAUUAUCCGGUUUGCAGGUCAUCGUGAUCAUGAAUAACACAAAAUUUGUUAAGAUACAGGUACUCCAUUUGUUAAGUUGUAUCACAAAUCUGAAGUUCGAUUAACACACAUUACAGUAAAAUAAUCUUGGUGUGCAUGACUCAUGGUAGUUUAUUAUUUAUUUGCUAUUUGCCUGUUUAACAUCUGAGAAUGAGAAUUACCUUCUGAAUCUCAGCUUAGUCGACAGGCAACAUUAUUUAUCAGUCCACUGCUAAAAAUUGACAGACAUUGGUUGCUGUUUUUACAGGUGGAAAAAUUGGCAAGAGAGUGUUUCUUCUUUCUGGGUGAAUCAUUCCUAUUAAAUGGAGUGCCUCUUGGAUGGUUUCCGUGCAUCCGUCAACAAGAUUGGCGAGUAGCAGGACCAGUUGCUUACGUUUUCAACAUGCAUCCUCCAUCCCCACAGCGAUUUUGCAGCACAACAGAACUGGGCGCCAAGUCCUCUGCAGAGACUAGUUAGGUCAUACACAUGCUAAUAGCUACUCCUAGGUCAAAUCGUUUUGCCAGCUGGAAAUACUUAGUUCUUUGGUCAGGUCAGCUUGUACAGAAAUAUUAUGGCACAGUAGCUACGAUGGAUACGGUAGGCACUGUUGCGCUGCGACUGCAAACUUGGGUUUUAAUGUCGUCGCUGCUCUAAUUUUUGUUAGACGUCCAAUUGUCAUGGAAGUGCCUUGAAAGUUGUUAUAUUUUCAUUUGGAAGUGCCCCCAAAGGCAUGGAAUCUCACUCUAUGUGAUAACCUUAAUUGCGUACGUUAUAUGUGAAUUGUUAACUCUGGACCUUAUAUACCUUUGCCGGUUUGUUGAAGAUACUCAACUCCUGAAAAUAGUUCCUCCUUCCCAAACUUGAGGGAAGGAUGUGAUACACUUUGCACGUCAUGAUACACAGCAAGGCUAGUUUCAACAGUGUGUGGAGGGAGUCGACGGAGGAUGGCAGGAGGCCAGGUGUCUUAACUCGUAAGAAAUAAACUUUGUGUUUAUGAUGACUACUAGCUAAUUGUUUGUGUGUUGCAACAUGGCCAAACAUAUUUCAAUGAUUCAAUACUAAUUACUAGUGCCUGAAUAGAGAUGUCGUGAGUGUUUUUUCCCCUUGAGCCAACCCAUAUCGACGUUGUCGAGUAGGAUUGUGUGGCAGAAUGGAUGUUGUUUUUGUUUUAAGAGAACGAGUAGGACAAAUAAUGGAAAGUAUUAACAUGUUCAGAUUAUCUCAUGUUACUGUAUAUACGUUAGUUUUUGUUUUGUGCGUUGUCGGUGAAGAUUUGUUUUUACAGGAACCAAGCGGGGAUGAAAGCAUUGGGUGGAAAGAAAUGAGAAUGAGCUGAGGCAAACCUACCGACCCCCUUUUGAUAGUAGACAUAGGUAAAAGUAGCCGGGCAGCUUCUAGCCUGACUUUAUAAAUAAAGCCAACACCCGCAAAGUAAGAAAAUUUAUGUAGCGAUAGUGUUCCAAUCAAUAUCUCUAAAUAUUCAAUUCAGGCGAGCAUUGAUGGGAGAAAGAUGGAAUGACUGGAUACAUUUGGUCAGAUGUUUGAUGGAGGUUGAACUGUCGAACCAGGAAGACUCCAUUCAAUGAAAAUUAACCACUUCUGGCAGAUUUAUGGUAAAAUCAAUCAUCGACGUAAUAAAUUCUGGACCACUGUCGAGAUCUUUACAUUUGUGGAAGAUCAAGGUACCACUCAGAAUCAAGAUUUUCAUGUGGUUUAUACACAAGGAAGUUGUGUUAACCAAAGAUAAUUUAAUAAGACGAAGAUGGAUAGGCUUCUUUGAUCAAGAUGAAACGGUCAAACACCUCUUUCUUGAUUGUCCACUAGCCAAAUUAUUAUGACACUGUUCAUAUAGUUUUCAACAUUUCUCAACCAACUAGCAUUAACCCGCUAUUUGGGACGUGGCUCAAAGGAGUAGAAGGAACUAUAGCGAAUCACAUAAAGAUUGGAAUAAGUGUGUUGUAUUGGGUUGUUUGGAAUACGCGAAAUGAUCAUAUUUUUAAUGGUAAGGUUAUCUUAAAAAAAUUGUAGGUUAUAUACAGAGCUACAGCUUGGAUCCGUAUGUGGUCAUUACUCAGCCAUGUGGACUUCCGGAAGCUUAUGGCUAUUGGGUGCAACCGGUGGGAGACGGUCGCACGGGCUAUCUUCAGUCAAUUUGGAUGGCGAGCUACUAAUAGACUAGGUGUAUAGGCAUUGUAGUCUGUUUGUUUCAAUUUGCCAGGUGUGGCAGUUUUACCCCGCUCGUGAGCGGUUUCUAUUUUGCGUUGUAUUGGAGAAUUGAAGACCUUUGUUACUUUCUUAGUUAAUAAAAUAGCUGCAUGCAUCGAUUGAUGCAGAGGCUGGAAGAUGAUCCUCCUUUUCCAAAAAAAAUACAGAAUAACAAUGUAGUUACAAAAAAUGGAUGCCACCGGAAAACCAAUUGAGACAGCGAAACAAGUCCUCUAAAGAGGCUCCGAUGGAGGGCGCUGGUCUCCGCGUGCUCUCUCACAAUGCAGGGGUGGCCCCAUAAAUUGAACGUUGUGUAUUCAAAUUUUAACAACUAUUUUUUGGAAGCCUACAACCUUCCUUUUGGCGCUUAUAACCAAUUAUAGCAGCAUAUUAUACUAAUUCUGUACCAUAUAUAAGGUAUCAUAGAAUAUAUUAUAUUCACAAAAAUUGAUAAUAAUUUGGUAUUGUUCAACAUAUAGAACUAAAAAUUGUUCAACAUAUCGUGGCAAAUCUAUGAUAUAUAAAGGAUAAAAAAUAGCAAAUGAUAAGAAACCUUACAAAGUAGAGGAUAACUUUGCGAUCCUUGAUGCUUUGAAAAUAAGCGAUGAUGCCUUCGUCUUUAACUUGCAAGAAAAAAAAUCCCUUUCAAUGAAUGUGACCAAGUAAUCAUUCAAGUAUUUUUGCCCCAUCUUGCUUCUUAGUUUGUUUAUUUCAUAAAAUUCAUUGAUGAGAAGACCCUCUCAACACCAGCAGUUGAACAGGAAGAACUAGCAUCAAUUUGAGAAGUUUGUAAACAGUCUCGUACCGAAGAAACCUCCCUGUUACAAUUUAUAAGCAUUCUCACAUCACGGAUUCAAAUGGAAAAUUGAGAUUGUCAUGUCUAACUAAUUCAUAAUUGAGUCCAAACAAGUUUGUAGUUUCACUGUAAUUAAGUAGAAAGAUAACCGGUCAGUGGUCAAAAUAACUUACUUAGUCUUGUACUUCUAUAAAGCAGCCUGCUGAGCAGUAUGAGAACAAAAUCGAGCCCUUGCUGCCUGAAUUCAGUUUGACACUGAUAGAUAAAUUCAGUUAGAACACUUUGUAUAGUGCUGACCGAAUUCAGUUCGACGGUGAUGCAUAAAUUCAGUUAGAACACUUUGUAUAGUUGAAUUCGGGGUCAAAGGAUUAGUACAUGUAAUAGCUAUUAUACCUUCAAUAGUUGAAAACGUGUUGUGGCUUUGAACUGGUUUAAUUACUGCCUCGGAUUUCUGUAGUCAUGCUAACCCCACACCUAUAGAGUGUGCAGCGAUCAGAAACUUCAGAACAAAAAGGGGCAAGGGGUCAGGGAUGGAUUCGUGGCGCGCGUCCGCGCCGCAGCCACGGUCACGCGUACCUGCGAUCAAUCGCCGAUCAGGCGGCGACAACUCUGGUCCGUGGCCGUCGUGCGGUGCCAAUCUGGCGGUUGGUGGCUCGGCUUGCUGCAGCAAUUUGGGCCAUAUGGGUCAUGUCUUGGUGGUGAGGUGGAAAUAAAUACGAU
RNAcentral lists this long non-coding RNA (5062 nucleotides) under Hordeum vulgare. Its description in RNAcentral is "long non-coding RNA (HVUL_LNC000519)". The record is from RNAcentral. Lineage: Eukaryota; Viridiplantae; Streptophyta; Magnoliopsida; Poales; Poaceae.